AAUUUCUAGUAAUCGCGCAUAAGUUAACUUAUGUGAGGAAAGUCCAUGCUCGCACAAGCUGCGAUGCUUGUAGUGUUUGUGCUCGGCGAAAAAAUAAACCGGGGCACCAUUUAUGGUGACGGCGGAAAAAACGGCUAAGGCUUUGGCUAUGCCCAAGUAUUCCUGAAAGUGCCACAGUGACGAUGCUGAUUUGGAAACGAAUCAGGUGGAACGCGGUAAACCCCUCAAGCGGGAAACCCAAACAUAUGGUAGGGGAGCUCGGCCUAGUGAAUUGAAACGAUGGUCGUGUUAGUAAUAAUAAUUACUAGAAGAUAGAUGAUUACUACUUGCUUAAUUAUGCAUGAAGUUAAGUGAGAACAUAACGUGGCUUACAGAA
This 376-nucleotide RNase P RNA is filed under the name Periweissella fabalis. RNAcentral describes it as "Weissella sp. LMG 26217 Bacterial RNase P class B". It matches the Rfam family "Bacterial RNase P class B". Rfam says of the family: Ribonuclease P (RNase P) is a ubiquitous endoribonuclease, found in archaea, bacteria and eukarya as well as chloroplasts and mitochondria. Its best characterised activity is the generation of mature 5'-ends of tRNAs by cleaving the 5'-leader elements of precursor-tRNAs. The record is from Rfam by way of RNAcentral. Lineage: Bacteria; Bacillati; Bacillota; Bacilli; Lactobacillales; Lactobacillaceae.